Non-coding RNA from Pelobates cultripes (western spadefoot toad), 205 nucleotides. The record is from the annotation of a GenBank genome assembly. NCBI's taxonomy places the organism in Eukaryota, Metazoa, Chordata, Amphibia, Anura, Pelobatidae.
CUAGCCAACAAGCAGACUCCACUCACAUUGCUGCUGCCAGUAUGCGACUUCUGAGUCCGGCCUCUGGUAUACCCCAAAUGCUGCCGUCUGUGCCAAAUCUGAUCCUCCCACUACUUUUUGAAACCCUGUGAAGGUGGAACACUGACAGACAGACACACUCACAGACAGACACACACACUUGCACACACAUACUUUUCUUUAUUGC